Long non-coding RNA from Ostrea edulis (European flat oyster), 645 nucleotides. RefSeq lists it as uncharacterized. Lineage: Eukaryota; Metazoa; Mollusca; Bivalvia; Ostreida; Ostreidae. The transcript has 4 exons. The record is from RefSeq and is a predicted model, not a curated record.
GUUAACUUAAAUUUUUCGACACAGACGCUUGAGCUAGAUCAUUUCCAAAACUUUAAUCAGUUUAAGGUUUUUCACAGUGCAUACUAGACCGUGGUUAGGUUUAUUUCGUGCAAAGGAUAGUUUUUGUGUUGUUAUUUAGUAGGAGUGUUUAAACAUGUUACUUCACGGCCACAGCAUACAAUAGUGGAUGUAAUUGAUAGCUGAUACAUUUUUGCACAUUGUCAUUAUAGCGGGGAAAGUGAUUUCAAAACAAUUCAAAUGAUUGCCAGAAGUGUAUUGUUCGCAGCCGUUCUUGUGCUCCUGUUCCUCAGUUUUAAAAACUCUUCAUCUCAAGACGUAGAUUUCGACGAGUUCUACUCGGAAGAAGUUCCUGUUCUACCCCGAAUCUGGUGGAUUCUGAAAAAAGUAACGAAAAGAAGGAUAAUCCCUAUGUACUUUAAGCUUACAGUGGAGGAAGAGCUGGGAGAUGAUUUUUUUGACGGACCGCCUUAAAGAAGAAUGGCGUAAUUAAUUGACUUCAUGUAUCUAAAUAACAGUAUACAUUUAAAGAAGUGUUGCUGUAGAUCAAUGUGAUAUAAAUGAAAUACUCCUCUCCGUUGUAUCGAGUUUUAUAGUUGAUAAUAAUAAAAGAUGUGUUAACGUGAA